CCCGCAACGAGCGCAACCCUUGUCUUCUGUUGCCAUCGGGUUAUGCCGGGCACUCUGAAGAGACUGCCGGUGACAAACCGGAGGAAGGUGGGGAUGACGUCAAGUCAGCAUGGCCUUUAUGUCUGGGGCCACACACGUGCUACAAUGGCCGGUACAAACCGUCGCGAUCUCGCGAGAGGGAGCUAAUCGGAGAAAGCCGGUCUCAGUUCGGAUUGUAGGCUCAAGGGGGCCUGCAUGAAGUUGGAAUCGCUAGUAAUCGCGGAUCAGCACGCCGCGGUGAAUACGUUCCCGGCCCAGCUACUCACCGCCCGUCACAUCACGAAAGCCGGCUGUACAGGGGGCCUCAGGCUAACCCGCAAGGGGGGCAAGCGCCUAAGG
RNAcentral lists this ribosomal RNA (378 nucleotides) under uncultured Acidobacteriota bacterium. Its description in RNAcentral is "bacterial SSU rRNA". It matches the Rfam family "Bacterial small subunit ribosomal RNA", at positions 1086 to 1462 of the family's 1533-position model. The record is from RNAcentral. Lineage: Bacteria; Pseudomonadati; Acidobacteriota.